GACGAACGCUGGCGGCGUGCUUAACACAUGCAAGUCGAACGGAAAGGCCCUGCUUUUGUGGGGUGCUCGAGUGGCGAACGGGUGAGUAACACGUGAGUAACCUGCCCUUGACUUUGGGAUAACUUCAGGAAACUGGGGCUAAUACCGGAUAGGAGCUCCUGCUGCAUGGUGGGGGUUGGAAAGUUUCGGCGGUUGGGGAUGGACUCGCGGCUUAUCAGCUUGUUGGUGGGGUAGUGGCUUACCAAGGCUUUGACGGGUAGCCGGCCUGAGAGGGUGACCGGCCAAAUUGGGACGGAGAUACGGCCCAGACUCCGACGGGAGGCAGCAGUGGGGAAUAUUGCACAAUGGGCGGAAGCCUGAUGCAGCAACGCCGCGUGCGGGAUGACGGCCUUCGGGUUGUAAACCGCUUUCGCCUGUGACGAAGCGUGAGUGACGGUAAUGGGUAAAGAAGCACCGGCUAACUACGUG
RNAcentral lists this ribosomal RNA (468 nucleotides) under uncultured bacterium. RNAcentral describes it as "partial 16S ribosomal RNA". It matches the Rfam family "Bacterial small subunit ribosomal RNA", at positions 28 to 507 of the family's 1533-position model. The record is from RNAcentral.